GUUGCUGGAAUGAGUCAGUGGACUUUUAUAAAAUUCAGGAGCGCAAGCAACUAAAUGCAUAUAAAAUAAAAAAAAUUCUUGAAUAUUCUACAGUAGUUAGGAUUUAGAGAGUACAUUGCUACAUGUAGGAUGCAAAUGUAGAAGGCAAUCAGUACUAUAACUUGAUUCAACUGUAUAUGUAAAGGAAGAAAAAUCCUUGGUUAAAAAUUCAUUUAGAAGCAUUAAUGCAGGCAUGGUUGAGACCAAAAUACUAGAGCUAGCGAGGCACCCCAAGUGGAAGAUUUCUCGUUACAAAAUAUUGGGUAUUUUCUGGAUAGAAAUAUACCUUAAUAAAGGAACUAUCAAAUCUUAUGAAUAACCAGCACAGAUGACCAUAUCUUUUUUCAUGUCUUGAACUGAAACAAGACUAC
Molecule: long non-coding RNA, 410 nt
Filed under: Elaeis guineensis (African oil palm)
Lineage: Eukaryota; Viridiplantae; Streptophyta; Magnoliopsida; Arecales; Arecaceae
Description: long non-coding RNA (EGUI_LNC026391)
Source: RNAcentral